AUGGGAGACCCAGAAGAAGCUCCUGGCUCCUGGCUUUGGAUUGGCUCAGCUCCGGCUGUUGUAGCCAUCUGGGGAGUGAACCAACGGAUGGAAGACCUCCCUCUCUCUCUGCCUCUGCCUCUCUGUAAUGCUGCCUUUCAAAUAAAUAAGUACAAUCUUUUUAAAAAAUCCACUGAACUGUCCACUCUGGCUCUCGGUGUUGUCCAUUUCUUGGCUGAGGUUCUCUGUGCCUCUGAUCACAGGCACGGCCACCACGGAAGCGUCUGUGAAACCUCGGUGGGAUGGUCCUCACCGGGGUCACCAGGGUCACGGGGUCACGGGGUCGGCCUGCCCUGCACUCUGAGCUCCUCCUGGUUCUCACGAGUAGGUGAUUUCCCAAUGCAAACUGGGCAUCUGGGGCUCCUCGAACCCCUCCCUUCACUGCUUCCCCAGCCAGGUGGGGUGGGGGCGGGGCUCGAUGGCCAGAACUCCACCUCCGUGGACACCCCCACGGGGGAGGGGUCACCACUGCCUCUGGCGGGAGUGGGAGUCCCGGCUCCUGGAUGCCCUGUGACUGCGCCUAUGUGGCUCCACACCAACAGGUCCUCCCUCCCUGUCCACGGAACCGAGUGGACGUCCAUCGCCCCCACAGCCCAGCUGAGGAACAGGCCCUGGGACACCCUGCGGUCCCCACUUGGGAACGCAGACCCAGUGAGGACUGGGGGGCAGCGGCAAAGUCACCACUCGACACCCAUGCUCUUGGCUCCAAGACCACUGCCCCACAGACCCGGGAGCCCCCAACACGCGGGGAGGGUGCCAGGCCCGCCCACCCAGUGCAAUCAUGGAAACUCCAAGCGGCCAAAGGACAGCCUCGCCUGCUUGGCCAGCCAGCCAGACUCGGGGACAGAGGCUCAUGCAGCUACUGCACCCCUGGACAACACAAACUGUGCUCCACACCCCUGCACAGUACCCGCUCCCUCAGACUACGGAGCGUCCACCUGGAGGCGGCCUGGCUUCCUGACCGCUGCAAUCCCCCAAACCGAGACGCACCCAGGAGCCCUGGAUGGCAGAGCAGCCGGCAGGCCAGGCGCCCGGCUCCCGGCUGGCGAGCGGGGUCUGCACCCAGCUGGCGGCGCCGUCCUGGGACCUGGGCCCUCCGCCUGGCUCUGGGCGGCAGACUGCACAGCAAGGGGAGAGCCGGUGACCGGGAGGGAAGCUGCUCUCUGA
RNAcentral lists this long non-coding RNA (1206 nucleotides) under Oryctolagus cuniculus (rabbit). RNAcentral's name for it is "lncRNA (ENSOCUG00000036048.1)". Lineage: Eukaryota; Metazoa; Chordata; Mammalia; Lagomorpha; Leporidae. The record is from RNAcentral.